Molecule: ribosomal RNA, 450 nt
Filed under: uncultured bacterium
Lineage: Bacteria
Description: partial 16S ribosomal RNA
Rfam family: Bacterial small subunit ribosomal RNA
Source: RNAcentral
CCUACGGGGGGCAGCAGUGGGGAAUAUUGCGCAAUGGGCGAAAGCCUGACGCAGCCACGCCGCGUGAGCGAUGAAGGCCUUCGGGUCGUAAAGCUCUGUGGGGAGAGAAGAAUAAAGCCUGUGAAGAGCGGGCCUUGACGGUAUCUCCUUAGCAAGCACCGGCUAACUCCGUGCCAGCAGCCGCGGUAAUACGGAGGGUGCAAACGUUGCUCGGAAUCAGCGGGCGUAGGGGGCACGGUGACGGCGGAGUGAAAGCCCCGGGCUCAACCCGGGAAGUGCAUUCAAAACUGUUUCGCUUGAAUCUCGGAGGGGGUCAGAGAAUUCCCGGUGUAGAGGUGAAAUUCGUAGAUAUCGGGAGGAAUACCAGUGGCGAAGGCGCUGACCUGGACGAAGAUUGACGCUGAGGUGCGAAAGCGCGGGGAGCAAACAGGAUUAGAUACCCUGGUAGUC